GAGUUUGAUCCUGGCUCAGGACGAACGCUGGCGGCGUGCUUAACACAUGCAAGUCGAGCGGUAAGGCCCUUCGGGGUACACGAGCGGCGAACGGGUGAGUAACACGUGGGUGAUCUGCCCUGCACUUCGGGAUAAGCCUGGGAAACUGGGUCUAAUACCGGAUAGGACCUCUUGCCGCAUGGUGGGGGGUGGAAAGGUUUACUGGUGCAGGAUGGGCCCGCGGCCUAUCAGCUUGUUGGUGGGGUAAUGGCCUACCAAGGCGACGACGGGUAGCCGACCUGAGAGGGUGACCGGCCACACUGGGACUGAGACACGGCCCAGACUCCUACGGGAGGCAGCAGUGGGGAAUAUUGCACAAUGGGCGAAAGCCUGAUGCAGCGACGCCGCGUGAGGGAUGACGGCCUUCGGGUUGUAAACCUCUUUCAGCGCCGACGAAGCGUAAGUGACGGUAGGCGCAGAAGAAGCACCGGCCAACUACGUGCCAGCAGCCGCGGUAAUACGUAGGGUGCAAGCGUUGUCCGGAAUUACUGGGCGUAAAGAGCUCGUAGGCGGUUUGUCGCGUCGUCUGUGAAAACUCGUAGCUCAACUACGGGCGUGCAGGCGAUACGGGCAGACUCGAGUACUGCAGGGGAGACUGGAAUUCCUGGUGUAGCGGUGAAAUGCGCAGAUAUCAGGAGGAACACCGGUGGCGAAGGCGGGUCUCUGGGCAGUAACUGACGCUGAGGAGCGAAAGCGUGGGUAGCGAACAGGAUUAGAUACCCUGGUAGUCCACGCCGUAAACGGUGGGCGCUAGGUGUGGGUUUCCUUCCACGGGAUCCGUGCCGUAGCUAACGCAUUAAGCGCCCCGCCUGGGGAGUACGGCGCAAGGCUAAAACUCAAAGGAAUUGACGGGGCCCGCACAAGCGGCGGGCAUGUGGAUUAAUUCGAUGCACGCGAAGACCUUACCUGGGUUUGACAUAUACCGGAAAGCUGCAGAGAUGUGGCCCCCCUUGUGGUCGGUAUACAGGUGGUGCAUGGCUGUSGUCAGCUCGUGUCGUGAGAUGUUGGGUURAGUCSCGCAACGAGCGCAACCCUUGUCUUAUGUUGCCAGCACGUAAUGGUGGGGACUCGUAAGAGACUGCCGGGGUCAACUCGGAGGAAGGUGGGGACGASGUCAAGUCAUCAUGCCCCUUAUGUCCAGGGCUUCACACAUGCUACAAUGGCCGGUACAGAGGGCUGCGAUGCCGUGAGGUGGAGCGAAUCCCUUAAAGCCGGUCUCAGUUCGGAUCGGGGUCUGCAACUCGACCCCGUGAAGUSGGAGUCGCUAGUAAUCGCAGAUCAGCAACGCUGCGGUGAAUACGUUCCCGGGCCUUGUACACACCGCCCGUCACGUCAUGAAAGUCGGUAACACCCGAAGCCGGUGGCCUAACCCCUUGUGGGAGGGAGCCGUCGAAGGUGGGAUCGGCGAUUGGGACGAAGUCGUAACAAGGUAGCCGUA
RNAcentral lists this ribosomal RNA (1477 nucleotides) under Rhodococcus sp. SW09. RNAcentral describes it as "bacterial SSU rRNA". It matches the Rfam family "Bacterial small subunit ribosomal RNA". Lineage: Bacteria; Bacillati; Actinomycetota; Actinomycetes; Mycobacteriales; Nocardiaceae. The record is from RNAcentral.